This 85-nucleotide non-coding RNA is filed under the name Actinobacillus pleuropneumoniae serovar 5b str. L20. RNAcentral describes it as "sRNA-Xcc1". It matches the Rfam family "sRNA-Xcc1". The record is from Rfam by way of RNAcentral. Lineage: Bacteria; Pseudomonadati; Pseudomonadota; Gammaproteobacteria; Pasteurellales; Pasteurellaceae.
GUCGAGAGGGCGGAGAAUACAAUACCCUUUGGGGGAAUAAUCCCGGUCUACUUGUGAAGGCUUCUGAACCUCUCGGCACCCUAUU